UUUUUAAGGAUUGCUAAUUUUGUUGUGUGUAUAAGUGUUGGUUGUGCAAGUCUUGAGUAUGGAUUGAUGAUUACUUUGAGAGUAUUGGCUUGGCUUGUUGAACCCAUGAUGAAGAUCCUUUCUAUAUUUAUUUCAUGUUUAAAAGUAGAGAA
Molecule: long non-coding RNA, 152 nt
Organism: Ipomoea nil (Japanese morning glory)
Lineage: Eukaryota; Viridiplantae; Streptophyta; Magnoliopsida; Solanales; Convolvulaceae
Exons: 3
Source: RefSeq, a predicted model, not a curated record